RNAcentral lists this ribosomal RNA (332 nucleotides) under uncultured eukaryote. Its description in RNAcentral is "partial 18S ribosomal RNA". It matches the Rfam family "Eukaryotic small subunit ribosomal RNA", at positions 1470 to 1796 of the family's 1831-position model. The record is from RNAcentral.
CCAUUAGAUGUUCUGGGCUGCACGCGCGCUACACUGUCGGAUUCAGCGAGUCAUAUCCUUAACCGAAAGGUUUGGGUAAUCUUUUGAAAGUCCGACGUGAUGGGGAUUGAUCAUUGCAAUUAUUGAUCAUGAACGAGGAAUUCCUAGUAAGCGCGAGUCAUCAGCUCGCGUUGAUUACGUCCCUGCCCUUUGUACACACCGCCCGUCGCUACUACCGAUUGAAUGGUUUAGUGAGAUCUUCGGAUUGGCGCCUACGCGGCUUCUCUGAGGCCACGCUGGAUGCCGAAAAGUUGCUCAAACUGUAUCAUUUAGAGGAAGUAAAAGUCGUAACA